This 252-nucleotide unclassified non-coding RNA is filed under the name uncultured fungus. RNAcentral's name for it is "partial contains small subunit ribosomal RNA, internal transcribed spacer 1, and 5.8S ribosomal RNA". The stretch from base 1 to 73 matches the Rfam family "Eukaryotic small subunit ribosomal RNA", at positions 1759 to 1831 of the family's 1831-position model. Lineage: Eukaryota; Fungi. The record is from RNAcentral.
GCAAACUUGGUCAUUUAGAGGAAGUAAAAGUCGUAACAAGGUUUCCGUAGGUGAACCUGCGGAAGGAUCAUUAGAGAAAGAAGUGCGAGUGCGUGAGCACGAGCCUUUUUUUUGCUUUUACACCUGUGCACCUGUUGCCCUCGGGCAAUUUUUAACAAACAUAUACAGUCUUGAAUGUAAACAAUACCAAAAAAAGUUAAUACAACUUUCAACAACGGAUCUCUUGGCUCUCGCAUCGAUGAAGAACGCAGC